RNAcentral lists this ribosomal RNA (428 nucleotides) under uncultured archaeon. RNAcentral describes it as "bacterial SSU rRNA". It matches the Rfam family "Archaeal small subunit ribosomal RNA", at positions 474 to 903 of the family's 1478-position model. The record is from RNAcentral.
UACCAGCUCUCCGAGUGGUAGGGAUGAUUAUUGGGCUUAAAGCGUCCGUAGCCGGCUUAGCAAGUCUCCUGUCAAAUUCAGCGACCUAAUCGUUGAGCCGCGGGAGACACUACUAGGCUAGGAGGCGGGAGAGGCCGACGGUAUUCUCGGGGUAGGGGUGAAAUCCUAUAAUCCCGGGAGGACCACCAGUGGCGAAGGCUGUCGGCUAGAACGCGCUCGACGGUGAGGGACGAAAGCUGGGGGAGCGAACCGGAUUAGAUACCCGGGUAGUCCCAGCCGUAAACGAUGCGGGCUAGGUGUUGGGGUGGCUACGAGCCACUUCAGUGCCGCAGGGAAGCCAUUAAGCCCGCCGCCUGGGGAGUACGGCCGCAAGGCUGAAACUUAAAGGAAUUGGCGGGGAGCACCACAAGGCGUGAAGCUUGCGGUUC